UAAGGACAAUGUAGUCUAUAUGCAUGGCCAGGCUUCUAAGAAAGUAGAAUAAGCAAUCACCUUCAAUGGUCCCAAAUUUUGAUUCUAUAAAGCCCCAAAAUAUGUUGUGAACCUCCAGGGAAAUUUAAAAUAUUAUUCAUAGUAUUCUUCACAAUUAUUUACUACAUAAGGCAGCAUUAAUUUUGUGUGUGUGUGCCUACUCCUUGGAUCAUUAAUAUAGAUUAAAUCAGUAAGUGGGAACUACUAUUCAAAUAGCCUUUCAUAGCUACUCCAACCCAUACCAACCUCUCUACUCAUCUAAAUACCUACUUAAGAGGAUUCAUUUUAAUAAUAUUCUUUUAGGAUUGGAUCAUUCACCAUCCCAGACUUUUCGUAAUAGACUUUUCUACUAUGCUCCUAUAUAGUUCUUUGUCUUCUUUGUGUAUCUGAUUUAGUUAAAUAAACAUUAAGCACCUUUGAUAUGAAAAGCACAAUUCGAAAGAUAGGGAGAGGGGGAGGUUCUUAAUAGACUUGUCUACCUAACAAGAAUGUGAGCUUCUCAUUCAUGUCUCCUUUUUUCGUUUCCUCUAAAUAGGGAGGCCCAGAACAGGGAUUAGCACAUGGGGAAGUUCAGUACAGAUAUAAAUCUUAUAAAAGCCACUAGUCCGUACAGAGGAUAUUUGGUCAGGCUAGAGGGGACAAUAAAAUGGGAUUUAGUAUGUUCUUAUCAACAAGAAUCAUCCUCAUCAAGCCUAACUGAAGAUAAUUGCUAUUAAAUAAGGGUCUGACCCAAAUCCAAGAUAGUACAUGUGGUUCUUCCUAGGAGCCUGAGGUUCUCCCAACUUAAAGUCUCCAGGAAAUGGAGAAGAAAGGAAAUUGAGCAUCUCUGGGACUUCUCGGACUUCUCCACCAUGCUCAUUAUUGGGAGACUCUCAUGAGCUAGAAAGAUCUUAUUAGCCCAGGUAUUCCACCUCAUCCUUACCCUUUUGUACCUCUGAUUGGACAUUUGAACCCCAAAAUCUCCAUUUAAGGAAAGAGCCCAGGUCAGGUCAUUGUCUCAUUUUUCACUUGAUUAUACUAGGUUGGGAUUUCUCUGCUUUUUUUUUUUUUUUUAACCAUGCCCCUAUGUCUAAUACCUGAACCCUUUUCAGCUUCCUUCUGUUUAUUGUCUUCUCCCAUUGAACUGCAAAUUUCUCGAGGGCAAGAAUUGUCUUUCUCUCCCCAGUCCCAUAUUUUUAUUCCCAGUGGCUAGCACAGUCCCUGGCAUAUAGUAGGCAUUUAAUAAAUAUUCACGGACUGGCAUAAAGAUUCCUCCCAUCCCCUUCCAGCAGUAGGGAUUACCUUAAAAUAUGCUCUAGGGCUAGGGAUAAACAGUCCUUCCAUAGGAGAGCCUGACCAAGGGAGCUACAGUGGGAAAGUACUUCCAGGGACUAGUGGGUUGGGCUCUGGGAAACAUAAGUAUUCAUCUGUUAUACAGAUACUUUCAGCUGCUUCUGACUCUUCCUGACCCCAUUCGGGGUUUUCUUGGCAAAGAUAUUGGACUGAUUUGCAGUUCCCUUUUCCAGCUCCUUUUACAGGCAGAAGAAACGAAGGCCGAGUUAAGUGACUGGUCCAGGGCCACACCGCCAGAUUUGAACUCUCCCGACUGCGAGUCCAGCAUUCUAUGCACUCUGGUGCUGCCUCGUUUCAUGCAGGAAUUCUAUUUUAUCCAUUCUAUGCUGUAUACACCAUCGAACCCAGCACAUGACCUUGAGAUCAGCAAAUGCCUGCUUGCUGAAUAAAUAAAAAAGCUGCACCCAAGAAGAUGGUAAAGUGGUGCCAGACACUAAAAACAAAGAACACAGCUCACCAUGAGGAUGCUCACAGCUAAGGCCAACUCCUGGGUUUCAGAGGGCUUAUAUCUUCUGGACCAGGAUCUACUUCCAAUUUUAAUUCUCCGAAUUUAGCCACUAACUUAGAGUGUAUUGCAAAAUCACUUCAUUUUUGAUUUUAUGGACUUCAGUGUUUCAUUCUGUAUGAUAAAUAGGUUGGUAGGGCUGGAUGACUUCCCAGGUCCCUGCUAGCUCUUAUAAUAUGCUAUGAUCUUAUCAUCCUAAACUAUGCUAUUCAUGCAUUCUGUUUUUCUUAAAACAAUGGAAGCUGACUGACAGUGUAUGAAAUUCUCAGAUCCUCUGAUCUUUCCAUUUCUGUUCCACCUCCAACUUUCUGCUCUGUCUGAAUCCUCACCAAGAAACCAAAUCAUCUUAUGGAAAGAAGAUCCAUCCAUCCUUUCUUUCCAGUUCCCAGUUUACUGGCCCAUGCUGGGGCUUCUCAAGGCAACAGAUGGUGGUGUUAACAUUAAUAUCUGGGUGGCCUUUUAGGCUGUCAGUUAGUUACUAGAAGUGGAAAAGGCUUGGGAUGUCCCAUACACACUUUUUAACCAACGCCCCUGUCAGCAUAUAACCAGACUAGGAGAGAGAGCUUCCCCUUGUCUGGCUAGGGGAAGAUACUAAGAAGGGAAGCUGUUCAUUGCUACACAGCUGGAUGCCCUGGGGGUGAUGGAAAUGGGGGGGUGGGGUUGGAAUCUGUCAUAUUAGUGUUGCCUCAGCAUAAGGCAGUGCCUGUACAUUUGACUGCCCUGAAAGACGGGACAGGAGAUUAGACAGAACGUGAUAUUUUUCCAUCUGUGACUAAUGUGUUUGCUGCUAGUUAAUGCCAAUUGCUUUACGAUAAAGUCACAUUUCUUGCUUAACA
This is a long non-coding RNA of Antechinus flavipes (yellow-footed antechinus), 2712 nucleotides long. RefSeq lists it as uncharacterized. Lineage: Eukaryota; Metazoa; Chordata; Mammalia; Dasyuromorphia; Dasyuridae. The record is from RefSeq and is a predicted model, not a curated record. The transcript has 2 exons.